UGUGAAACAGAGGACGAAGAAGAAGAAGAAGGAGAUAGA
Molecule: small RNA, 39 nt
Filed under: Arabidopsis thaliana (thale cress)
Lineage: Eukaryota; Viridiplantae; Streptophyta; Magnoliopsida; Brassicales; Brassicaceae
Description: ATSL058780
Source: RNAcentral